CACGUAGGGGCCAAGCGUUGUCCGGAUUUAUUGGGCGUAAAGAGCUCGUAGGCGGCUCGGUAAGUCGGGUGUGAAACCUCCAGGCUCAACCUGGAGACGCCACCUGAUACUGCUGUGGCUAGAGUCCGGUAGGGGAGCGUGGAAUUCCUGGUGUAGCGGUGAAAUGCGCAGAUAUCAGGAGGAACACCAGCGGCGAAGGCGGCGCUCUGGGCCGGAACUGACGCUGAGGAGCGAAAGCGUGGGUAGCAAACAGG
Molecule: ribosomal RNA, 254 nt
Filed under: uncultured bacterium
Lineage: Bacteria
Description: partial 16S ribosomal RNA
Rfam family: Bacterial small subunit ribosomal RNA
Source: RNAcentral